GUGCAAACUCGAUCACUAGCUCUGCAUGAUGUUGCAGAAGUGAGGGGAACCAGGUUUGCUAAAGUAAUUGUGGUGGUAGAAAUGUAUUAGCCUCAGAAGGUACUUACUGAGCUGACUUAUUCUAUCCCAGUACAAUA
Molecule: small nucleolar RNA, 137 nt
Organism: Ailuropoda melanoleuca (giant panda)
Lineage: Eukaryota; Metazoa; Chordata; Mammalia; Carnivora; Ursidae
Source: Ensembl